AUGCAAUCUAUCAUGCCGGCUUUCAAAACUGCCCCUGGCAUGCAAGUGAAGCCUAGUAAGAGGGCAAAAAAGAGUAAGCCAUCCCGAGACCCGGUCGUGGCUGAAAUGGAGCUUGGCACGACUGCUCCUGAUAGUUCUACCCAUCAGCCGCCGCCUAAACCAGCCUAUGACAUUCCAGCUCUAACCUCUGAUCCACACGCCAAAAAUACUCUCAACAUCUCUGAUAACCUGGAAGCUCCUAGCCCGGCCAAGACAAUUGAUCCGGACAUUGAGAUUCUGAAGACUCACUUUGUUGAGCCAGGGCGACCCACUGUCCUUGCCAAGUGCUCUGCUAAGGAGGAACUUCUGGAACACCGAAAGGCCAAGCUAGACAUUGCUGACUAUACUCAUUUAAGUAUUGGAGAUAUAGUCUCUGACUAUCUCAAUCAAGUACAUAGCAGCCGUGACCUGGAAAUUGACAUGGUGAAGCAAAUACAGCAAAAAUCUGAGGCCACCAUAAGUCAAUUUGAGUCGGAAACUUCUGAUCUGAAGAAGCUCCUGGCAGCUCAAGAACUUGAAAUUCAAAAGGCCAACUCCAAAUUCGAAUUCAGUGUCUGUGAGCAAGAAAAAUUGAAGAAGAACUUUGAGGCGGAGAAGAAAAUCUGGGCUGAUGAAAAAGCUUCACUGGUGACCCAGACCGAGACGGCAGAGGCAUUGCUUGCAGAAGCAACAACGGAGUUGUCCGGCUUAAAGCGCCAGAUAUCUCAAAUGGUCUCAACAAUCUUUGGCCCUAGGAGCACAAAUCUCAAGCAGAACAUGUUGAUCAAGCUGAAGGCGGUUUAUACUCUUGUGGAGCAGCUCUACACCAGGUCACAACAUGCUCUGGCCAUUGUAGCUUUAUCAGAUGACGUUCCUUACCUCCUGCAAGACAUGCUUAAACAGCUUGCUUCACUACCUCAACGGGUCCAAGAUCUAAGGCGGGCGUCCGCAAGAGCCGGGGCCGUAGCUGCAUUGAGCCGGGCUAAAGCAUGGAUUCCGGAACUAGACCCGGCCGACCUCGCUCUUGGAUACCCCAGUCUUAAAGAAGAUGGGACCGUAUUUGAUGAACAUGACUUCACCGCCUGUGUCAAAGAUAUACGCCCCGUGGCUACUCUUAUCGGGAACGAUACUGAUCUUACCAAGUAUCAGCCGGGCUAUGACAGCGAGAAUCGGAGAAUCCCAACACCUCCCUAUGAUGAAGUCAGCCUAAUCCCUCCAACUCGUAAGCAUACCUUUGCCCCUGAAGUGGAUCCAGCUGGUUUAAUAGAUGAUGAAGCCGAGUUUGAAGCCUUGAGUGGCAUUGACUGGGCCUCGUCAACCUUCCAGGACAAAGCAGCCGACGGAGAGGCGGAGAAGGAUAACCCGGAAUCUUCAAGCCCACCAGAGGAGUGA
This 1410-nucleotide ribosomal RNA is filed under the name Triticum aestivum (bread wheat). RNAcentral describes it as "partial small subunit ribosomal RNA". The record is from RNAcentral. Lineage: Eukaryota; Viridiplantae; Streptophyta; Magnoliopsida; Poales; Poaceae.